GGAAGAUGCGCGGUUGCAAGGACCGUGUCGGCCGCUACGACUCGGCCAGGGCCGGGAGGCAGGGGGCCAGCGAUCCCCUCCCGGGGGACCCCCAGCCCUGGUGAGGUGGGAGCGGGUGCCCCUCCGAGUCCGCCCCGGCCCCGCCGGCCCACCCCGGCCGAGAAGUUGGCUCUGGAAGCGGCCCGUCCUCAGCCCUGGGCUCUGCUCGGGGAGGAAAGGAGGGUUAAGGGGGAGGGGAGCUAACGGCGGAGAUAUGAGGGGCUGGGGGGAAGGCCCCCCCUCCCCCGGAGUCACAGCCAUCGUCCCUGUUCCCUCUCUGCUGCUCCAGCUGCUCUGCAAAAAGGGCCGGAUCUACUGUGCCAGGAACCCGGCGGCCGUACCGAGCCUCCAGGAGAGCGCAGGAGAGCCGCACAUGUCAGCGCGAGGGUCCCGGAGCUUGCACUUGUCAGGUUCCUCCGGGAUCACGGCGUCUUUGAGGACUUUUCCCUGCCUGCGAUCCCUGUCUCUCACUAAGCUGAGAGGGACUAUCGAAAACGAAAAAGAAGAAAAAAGCCAGAGACCCCAGAUCCAUGGUUGUAGGUGCGCACGCAUGCGCCUCAGAGACCUGCUUGACUCAUGUCCUUUAUACCCCUUAAGAGGCAUGCUGGCACUUUUACACAUUCACUGGGCAUAAAUGGGGAACACCUGAAGCCACCUGGUGCCCACUCUCUGGAGGACAGGGACUUCGCUCAUUCCAUGGCACACCAUUAUCUUCUUGAGGAGACAGCACCUCCAAAAAGUCAGUGCUGACCUGGCCGAGCACUCCUCCUCAGCUCUGCACUGCUGCUUUGCCAUUAUGUCACGACUGAUCUCUAACUCUUCCAUCUUUAACUGGAAAACAGAAUGGAGGAACAUCAUAUGACUAUUAGCUCUUAACAAACUUCAGCCAAAGAAGUCUGAACGUGUAAUAACACCUGAACUGCAUAUUGCACUGAAGAAGCAAGUUGAUGACUUGGAAAACUAAAGCCUUGGGCUCCCUCCUGCAAUAAAUAGUUGCAAUGUUCCAUGUUUGGAAAAAGAAGGACAACUAACCACAGCAAAAUAUGCAUGCGCAUGCUUUGCUUUUUUCUCCUUAGCUAGAAAAUUUCCAACGCUGCCUUUGAAAUUUCUAGUAAUCUGCCAUGCUGUAACAAGGCUGUUGCGGCCACUAUUUGUUGUUAAGCAGAACCAAAAGAAGUCCGUCUCCCAUGAGGGUCUUACACACCUUUAGCCUUGCUGGAAGAACACCAGUAACAAACAGGGGCUGUGAAGCCAAGUAGUUCAUCAAGGACCAGUGGAGCUGCACCGCUCUCCCUUGAACACUAGUCAAGUCCAAUGGCUGAGUACUAAGAAUUAAAACCCCAGAACGACUGUGAAAAGGUCAGAGGCACAGCGUGCCUGUGGAGCUAUGACAGACGGUUACUACAGCCUCAUGACCACACACCCAACGGUCUGUCACAUCAGCAGAUACUUUGUUUACCUGGGACUUUUACAACUGGAAGGAAGCAAUGAUACGUUCUCAGGAGACUGGUGAUCUAAUAACAGUUUUCAACCUGGAAAGGUUGCAACUGAAAAUUUUGUAUACACUCAAACAUUUUUGGGCCUCUCUUGUAGAUCUCUGUACAGUGAUUUUCAGCCAAAUGACAAUCGGCUUGCUUUUCUUAGUUACUUUUUUAUAUAGCUUAGAUGUAGUCCACCCACCUCUGUAAGUCAAAAACUAAAGACAUUCCAAUAGAUCUCUUCCACACCUUACUAUCAAAUCCACAACUUAAAAUUAAAAAAAACCAGCUUAUUAAUGAAUUUUCAUAGUAGUGAUCACUACUUUGAUGAUACUUCCGCAUUCUGUUAACUUUAAUCUCCACUAUGAGAGCAAUGUACCACCACACUGUAUUAUUUGCAUUGCACUCUGCGGGGCUAAGACAAUAUUCUGAUGCCUCGAUGCUGCAGGUUGGCCUUUCAAGAUAGAUACUCCUGAGCAACCCUGCAGCAACCGUAGGAUGAGUGAAUCUACUUCUGUCUGCAUCUCUCAGUAUCCUAUUGCUACGUGGUGCUCACAGGAUUGGGAAGAAAGUCUGCAGAGAUAAGGACUGCAGUUUGGAAGGGCUUCUCUUUGUUUCACUGUCUGAGCUUGCUUGCUGAGGCGGCACUAAUUGCAGAACAAGGCUUCAGCUCAGGGGGCCUCACAAGCAGAGCUGCCUGCUCCUGAAGCUUAAUUCCCUGAUUCACGACCUUGGAACAGCAGGGACAGGGGAGAAGAGGGAACACAUCCGACAGUUGUUGCAGUGAGGAUGGCAGAGUGGCCCGAGGGUUCAGGACAUAGAUCCUGUCCUCAGCUCUAUUUUCUGCUGGAUGUCAGCUGUGGGCAUCUCACAAAAUCUUUUCCUGGACUUGAGUUUGACUCGUAAUGGUGAAGAUCAAGUACUUUGAGAUAUUUGGAAGACAGAAAAUCCAAAAACAUUUUGUAGCAUUUCAUUAUUAAAUAUAGGACUAGACAAACACCUCUGAAUUUUGUUAUUAUUCAGAUAGAUAAAUAUAGAGCUGGUUGCACUGAGUCCCUUCUGUGUUUUUCUUCUGUGAAUAUUAUAGCAAGUGACAUGUAAUGUGGAAUGAGAAAAAAUGGAAAAAGAGGUAAAAGGAACAAUUUUAUACUUGUAUCAGAAACUGUUCACAGAAAAAUAUUUUUGAUUGUUAUUUGCAUUUGAGGUCUGGCUUGUCUGACAGAAAAAACACAAUGUGAUUUUACAGUAAAAAAUAGUAAUAAAAAACCUGAUACAAAGUCCA
This is a non-coding RNA of Phalacrocorax carbo (great cormorant), 2799 nucleotides long. The record is from RefSeq and is a predicted model, not a curated record. NCBI's taxonomy places the organism in Eukaryota, Metazoa, Chordata, Aves, Suliformes, Phalacrocoracidae.